GCACUAGUACUUCAGUGGUAGAACUCUGGCCUUCCGUGUGGCAGACCCGGGUUUGAUUCCCGGCCAGUGCA
Molecule: transfer RNA, 71 nt
Filed under: Loxodonta africana (African savanna elephant)
Lineage: Eukaryota; Metazoa; Chordata; Mammalia; Proboscidea; Elephantidae
Rfam family: tRNA
About the family: Transfer RNA (tRNA) molecules are approximately 80 nucleotides in length. Their secondary structure includes four short double-helical elements and three loops (D, anti-codon, and T loops).
Source: Rfam by way of RNAcentral